Molecule: ribosomal RNA, 577 nt
Filed under: Cryptococcus sp. GJ12L01
Lineage: Eukaryota; Fungi; Basidiomycota; Tremellomycetes; Tremellales; Cryptococcaceae
Also listed under: 1 other name
Description: eukaryotic LSU rRNA
Rfam family: Eukaryotic large subunit ribosomal RNA
Source: RNAcentral
GCGAGCGAACCGGGAAGAGCUCAAAUUUGUAAUCUGGCGUCUUUAUGGCGUCCGAGUUGUAAUCUACAGAAGCGUUUUCCGCGCCGGACCGCGUCCAAGUCCCUUGAAACAGGGUAUCAAAGAGGGUGACAAUCCCGUACUUGACGCGACGACCGGGGCUAUGUGAUACGUCUUCUACGAGUCGAGUUGUUUGGGAAUGCAGCUCAAAACGGGUGGUAAAUUCCAUCUAAAGCUAAAUAUUGGCGAGAGACCGAUAGCGAACAAGUACCGUGAGGGAAAGAUGAAAAGAACUCUGGAAAGAGAGUUAAACAGUAUGUGAAAUUGUUGAAAGGGAAACGAUUGGAGUCUUAUCACGUUGGUUCGGUUCAGCUGUCUUUUGGCAGUGUACUCCGUUCCAACGGGUCAGCAUCAGUUUGGGAUGGUGGAUAAGGGCGGGGGGAACGUGGCACCUUCGGGUGUGUUAUAGCCCCUUGUCGCAUACACUGAUUCAGACUGAGGAACGCAGCUCGCCUCUUGUAGGCCGGGGUUCGCCCACGUUACGAGCUUAGGAUGCUGGCGCAAGCGCUUCAAACGACCC